This 30-nucleotide ribosomal RNA is filed under the name Mrakia cryoconiti. Its description in RNAcentral is "partial 18S ribosomal RNA". The record is from RNAcentral. Lineage: Eukaryota; Fungi; Basidiomycota; Tremellomycetes; Cystofilobasidiales; Mrakiaceae.
UUCCGUAGGUGAACCUGCGGAAGGAUCACU